This 31-nucleotide non-coding RNA is filed under the name Homo sapiens (human). The record is from RNAcentral. Lineage: Eukaryota; Metazoa; Chordata; Mammalia; Primates; Hominidae.
UCCAAGUCCAAUCGUCCACCCACCUGCCUGG